This 449-nucleotide ribosomal RNA is filed under the name Klebsiella pneumoniae. Its description in RNAcentral is "bacterial LSU rRNA". It matches the Rfam family "Bacterial large subunit ribosomal RNA", at positions 195 to 686 of the family's 2925-position model. Lineage: Bacteria; Pseudomonadati; Pseudomonadota; Gammaproteobacteria; Enterobacterales; Enterobacteriaceae. The record is from RNAcentral.
GAAACAUCUAAGUACCCCGAGGAAAAGAAAUCAACCGAGAUUCCCCCAGUAGCGGCGAGCGAACGGGGAGCAGCCCAGAGUCUGAAUCAGCUUGUGUGUUAGUGGAACGGUCUGGAAAGUCCGACGGUACAGGGUGAUAGUCCCGUACACCAAAAUGCACAGGCUGUGAACUCGAAGAGUAGGGCGGGACACGUGGUGAUCCUGUCUGAAUAUGGGGGGACCAUCCUCCAAGGCUAAAUACUCCUGACUGACCGAUAGUGAACCAGUACCGUGAGGGAAAGGCGAAAAGAACCCCGGCGAGGGGAGUGAAAAAGAACCUGAAACCGUGUACGUACAAGCAGUGGGAGCACCUUCGGGUGUGACUGCGUACCUUUUGUAUAAUGGGUCAGCGACUUAUAUUCUGUAGCAAGGUUAACCGUAUAGGGGAGCCGCAGGGAAACCGAGUCUUA